AAACGCAUGGAAUGAUCAGAGGAACCCAUAUCAGGAGGAUAACAUGAACAAGGUACAAGUAAGCCUCCAUGUGAGCCUGCACAGCAGCCGCCCUAUAUUGCAGUUUGCCCACCUGGGCCUCCUUGUCCAACCGUUUGCCCUUUUCCACCAAUGAAACUUGUUGGUGAUAAGACAGUGUGCCCACCUGGGUUUAUUGAUCCAGGUGAUGGAAAUUAUCCUCCUCAACCAGUGGGAUUUUGUGGUACUGCUGAAUGGAUGAAUAGGCAGAAGGAAAAAAAGGAAAGGAAGAAGCAGAAGAAGGCAUUGAAAAAGUUGAGGAAGGAAAAGAACAAGAAGCUUGAAGAGUGUGACAAUGGCCUGACUGCCAAAGAAAAUGAAUUCUUCAACAGGACGAAAUUGGAAAUAAAGAUUUUGAAAACCAAGAUGAAGCAAGCCAAGAGAAGGAACAAGGGGGGAUCCGGCGAUGGCACAUGUGGCCUGACACCUGUCGAGAUGGAGGAGUUAACGAAGAAGAAGUCUCAAUUGAAACCUUUGAAGGAGAAGAAGAAACUUCACAAGAAAAACAAGGAGGGGCCCAGCUCGGAUGAUUCCGACACUGGCCUGACCCAAGAAGAGUAUAUAUGCUGGAAAACGUCAAAGACUGAAAAGAAACUUUUGAAGAAGAAAGCAAAAAAGAGAGCAACCGACGGUACUGCUGUUGGCUUGACAUGCACUGAAAAGGAAUGUCUCGUGGAACUGGAGAAUAAAUUGAAGGUGUUGAAGAAAAAGAAAAAAGCCUUCAAGAAAAAAAACAAGCCUGCUUCGGAUUCCGAUUCCGACUCUGACGUUGGACUGAAUGCUGAGGAGUUUCAAUGCUGGAAGACAAAUAAGUGCCAAAUUAAGUGCUUGAAGAAGAAGAAGAAGCAAGCCAAAAAGGCUCAUAAAAGGGCUACCAAGGAUGCUCCAUGUGCUGGCGUCGUUGAUUUCCUGACACCCAAGGAAAUGGAAGAGAUGAAGAAUCUGAAGGCAAAGAUGAAGGCACUGAAGCAAAAGAAGAGAGAAUACAAGAAAAAGAAUAAUAUUGAGGUUUCUUCAAGUUCAAGUGACUCUGAUGAAAAUCUGACACCGGAGCAAAAGCAAUAUAAAAAGCAGAUGAAGGAGCAAGGAAAGAUGUGCAAGAAAAUGAUGAAACAGCAAAAGAAGGCUGAGAAAGGCAAAAACAAGAAGCCUGGAGAUCCCGAGUUGAGUGAUUCCUCUGAUUCAUCCUCCAGCUCUUCAAGUUCUUCCUCCUCUUCCUCCAGUGAUAAUGAGUGCGGUGCAUGUCCCACCAAAUCCAAACCACCAUGUCCCCAAAUGCAGCAAAAGUGUCCUGGGUUGCCAAAAUAGUGAUGGAGUUUUCCAAAGGGUCACACUGGCCAUUAGGUCUCGUGACCAACACACGGCCUAUUUUUGCUUUUUCAUUCAGCUUCUAAUUAGUUAGCCUUGGCUAAAAUGGGUCAGUUUUGCAACAAAAAAUAUUUUACCUUGCUUUUCUUACAGGAACAUUCAUUUUAAUCACCAAAAACAAUCAUUAACUUUCUCAAUGCUGGUGAGUUUCUGUUUUAACGAUUUUUUUUUACCUCUCUCAUAAGAUGAGUUGAAACCCUUGAAAGGCUGAGUUUGGAAGUUGAAAGAAUAAUGUUGUACUGCUUGAUCCAACAGACUUGUGUUUUAAAAACUCCAGUUAUAAAAUGCUGAAAGAUACAAGAAACUUUUUUUUCUGAAAGACAUGUUCAGAAGUUUGCCGUUUUGACCACGGAGUGGUCUUUAACUGAGACGAAGCAGGACAUAUUGUAGCCAAACUCUGACUAUACCCCUUGAGAGAGGCUGAGGUGUGGGGGGGGGGGAUCCAAUGUCAAAAGAAGGAAGGGGUAGGAAAGAGGAACAUGAGAAAGGAGAAAAGGAAGAAGAGUUGGGUUGAAAGGAAUGAACGGGGCAGCUGAAACCAGAUACACUCACCCCACUCUCUUUUCUCCUUCACUCCUAUCAACUACUCCAAUUUCCCCCCACUGCCACUUUCCUCAACCUUCCCCCUUCACUCUCUUCUUCAUUCAUCCACCAUUUCCCUCCCCUUUCUCACAAUCCUUUGGUCUGCCACCAGCUCAGCGUACCUGUCCUGCUACGUCCCAGUUGAAGUGCACUUUGUGUUCAAUACACUGAAGCUCUGAGACUUUACUGUCCAAAAAAAAAAAUUCGUUAUUUGGUGAUAUUUUGUUUUCAUUGUUUUGUAAUCUCUGCACCUUUGAAAUGUGAUCUAAACUACACUUCGUUUGUCCUUUGUCAUGCAAUCAUGAUUUAUUGUGGUGGAUUAUUCAGGAUUAUAUGGGAAUUUUUUCUGUAUCCGAGGGAAUGGUGAAAUAAACGAUUAAAACUUUAUUGCAGCAUCUUAUUCAAACAAAUAAAUUCUUAUCGAACUUUGUUUCUUAUUUGGAUACUUCAGUUACAAGGUAAAUGGAAGAGCUAGUUGACAAAGGGUAAAAUAUAAUGUACUGAUAGGACAGUGUGGCAACAGUCAGACAUGAUGAGGAAAGACAAUAACUGGCAAGUAAGAGGGUUAGGCUCUGAUUUUGAUGGAACAUACUCUGUCACAGAGCAUUGGUGCUGUUAAAGUAGUUUAUUGGCAAUAGUUAUACUAGGU
Molecule: long non-coding RNA, 2656 nt
Filed under: Eptatretus burgeri (inshore hagfish)
Lineage: Eukaryota; Metazoa; Chordata; Myxini; Myxiniformes; Myxinidae
Description: lncRNA (ENSEBUG00000017098.1)
Source: RNAcentral